CGUGUAGGCGGUCGGUCAAGUCCGGUGUGAAAGCCCGGGGCUCAGCUCCGGAAGUGCAUCGGAAACUAGCCGACUUGAGCGCGAUAGAGGAGGGUGGAAUUCCUGGUGUAGCGGUGAAAUGCGUAGAUAUCAGGAGGAACACCGGCGGCGAAGGCGGCCCUCUGGGUCGUUGCUGACGCUGAGACGCGAAAGCGUGGGGAGCAAACAGGAUUAGAUACCCUGGUAGUCCACGCUGUAAACUAUGGGUACUAGGUGUUCGGGGUGUUGACCCCCUGAGUGCCGACGCUAACGCAUUAAGUACCCCGCCUGGGGACUACGGCCGCAAGGCUAAA
Molecule: ribosomal RNA, 332 nt
Filed under: uncultured bacterium
Lineage: Bacteria
Description: bacterial SSU rRNA
Rfam family: Bacterial small subunit ribosomal RNA
Source: RNAcentral